CAUGAAUAUUCAUUAGGCAGGGUCGGGGAAAGUCUCGAUUCUCUUAAAUAUUCAUAUCGAGGUGGGAAUGCACGACGCGCGCUAUACUCGCACAAAGUGAGAAGAUUUAGUUCACGGAGAAUGCAUAUGGAUUGAAACUGAAGAGCUGGAAGGAGGACAUUACAACAUCUCUUAUAUUUGCAAGAUGAAGCAGAAAGUCCCAUGCAGGAUGAUGCCUCUCUACAGUGGAUGAUGAAGGCAUUCUGGUUUGCAAACUCAGGAGAGGAACAAAGAACAGAUGUUGACGGGAUCAUAUCUAGAGAUGCGGGCCUACUACACUUCAUACGAGCAAGUGUGCCAAUAUACAUGAAGGUACCCCCAAUAAAUUUUUGUGGAACAAAUGUCAUGGAGAAAAUUAUAGAUCUGAAACAGAUAUUUUUCAUUGUCAGUUGACUUGUAAAAGAAUAAUUGACUUAAUAUCACAAUUGUAAUUUAGAUUAAAAAUUAAAUGUCAAUAUAG
Molecule: long non-coding RNA, 499 nt
Filed under: Strongylocentrotus purpuratus (purple sea urchin)
Lineage: Eukaryota; Metazoa; Echinodermata; Echinoidea; Camarodonta; Strongylocentrotidae
Description: uncharacterized LOC115928697
Source: RNAcentral